Molecule: ribosomal RNA, 303 nt
Filed under: Triticum aestivum (bread wheat)
Lineage: Eukaryota; Viridiplantae; Streptophyta; Magnoliopsida; Poales; Poaceae
Description: partial small subunit ribosomal RNA
Source: RNAcentral
AUGCUCAAACUGGAACUGCUAGAGGAACGAAUUUUCAAUAGCAUAACUUUGGCUCCUAUAAUAUGGCGCCCUUGGGACAAUCUAUUUGAUUGGAGGGUUUUGUUCCGAAGCAAAGAUAUCCGCGGAGGCCGGUUCGUUCAUCCUAUUCUAAUAUUCAGGACCAAGAGGUACUGGAUUCUCUUUUGGAUAGGCCCUAAAAGGGGAAGAAAGGUUGAAAUGCCAAUGGACCUCUGUCUAUUCUCUAAUUCACCUAAUUCGAUAGUACCCAUUUUUGGAACAUCCAAUGCCAAAGUCACUGAAUGA